This 103-nucleotide microRNA precursor is filed under the name Marmota monax (woodchuck). The record is from RNAcentral. Lineage: Eukaryota; Metazoa; Chordata; Mammalia; Rodentia; Sciuridae.
AGUGGGAUAGCUGGGUCAAAAGGUGGUUCCAUUACCAGAUUUCCAAGGAAUCUCCAUACUGCUUUCUAGAUUGGCUGCACCAAUUUGCAGUCCCACCAGCAAU